GGACCCGCACAAGUAGUGGAGCAUGUGGUUUAAUUCGAAGAUACGCGCAGAACCUUACCAACACUUGACAUGUUCGUCGCGACUCUAAGAGAUUUAGAGUUUUCGGUUCGGCCGGAACGAAACACAGGUGCUGCAUGGCUGUCGUCAGCUCGUGUCGUGAGAUGUUGGGUUAAGUCCCGCAACGAGCGCAACCCUCACUUUUAGUUGCCAUCAUUAAGUUGGGCACUCUGAAAGAACUGCCAGUGAUAAGCUGGAGGAAGGUGGGGAUGACGUCAAGUCCUCAUGGCCCUUACGUGUUGGGCUACACACGUGCUACAAUGCUACGGACAAAGGGCUGCAAGUUCGCGAGGACAAG
This 355-nucleotide ribosomal RNA is filed under the name uncultured bacterium. RNAcentral describes it as "bacterial SSU rRNA". It matches the Rfam family "Bacterial small subunit ribosomal RNA", at positions 917 to 1267 of the family's 1533-position model. The record is from RNAcentral.